This 253-nucleotide ribosomal RNA is filed under the name uncultured bacterium. RNAcentral's name for it is "partial 16S ribosomal RNA". It matches the Rfam family "Bacterial small subunit ribosomal RNA", at positions 524 to 776 of the family's 1533-position model. The record is from RNAcentral.
UACGUAGGGUGCAAGCGUUAAUCGGAAUUACUGGGCGUAAAGCGUGCGCAGGCGGUUUUGUAAGUCUGACGUGAAAUCCCCGGGCUCAACCUGGGAAUUGCGUUGGAGACUGCAAGGCUAGAAUCUGGCAGAGGGGGUUAGAAUUCCACGUGUAGCAGUGAAAUGCGUAGAGAUGUGGAGGAACACCGAUGGCGAAGGCAGCCCCCUGGGUCAAGAUUGACGCUCAUGCACGAAAGCGUGGGGAGCAAACAGG